UACGUAGGGUGCAAGCGUUGUCCGGAAUUAUUGGGCGUAAAGCGCACGUAGGCGGUCUCGUAAGUCGGGUGUGAAAGCCCCAGGCUUAACCUGGGAAGUGCACUCGAAACUGCGAGGCUUGAGUAUGGAAGAGGGUCUCGGAAUUCCCGGUGUAGAGGUGAAAUUCGUAGAUAUCGGGAGGAACACCAGUGGCGAAGGCGGAGACCUGGGCCAAUACUGACGCUGAGGUGCGAAAGCGUGGGGAGCAAACAGG
RNAcentral lists this ribosomal RNA (253 nucleotides) under uncultured bacterium. RNAcentral describes it as "partial 16S ribosomal RNA". It matches the Rfam family "Bacterial small subunit ribosomal RNA", at positions 524 to 776 of the family's 1533-position model. The record is from RNAcentral.